This 253-nucleotide ribosomal RNA is filed under the name uncultured bacterium. RNAcentral's name for it is "partial 16S ribosomal RNA". It matches the Rfam family "Bacterial small subunit ribosomal RNA", at positions 524 to 776 of the family's 1533-position model. The record is from RNAcentral.
GACAGAGGGUGCAAACGUUGUUCGGAAUUACUGGGCGUAAAGCGUGUGUAGGCGGUUAGGAAAGUCGGAUGUGAAAGCCCCGGGCUCAACCCGGGAAGUGCACUCGAUACUGCCUGACUUGAGUAUCGGAGAGGUUGGUGGAAUUCUCGGUGUAGAGGUGAAAUUCGUAGAUAUCGAGAGGAACACCGGCGGCGAAGGCGGCCAACUGGACGAAUACUGACGCUGAGACACGAAAGCGUGGGGAGCAAACAGG